AUUAUAUAUAUAUAUAUAUAUAUAUAUAUAUAGAGUUGGACUGGGCUACUAUUAGUAGCAAAAUUUCAUUGUUGCUACCAGUUUUUUAGCCUUUGGAUCAACUCUUUUUAUUAUUUCUGGCCAUUGGAUUAAAUACUAUAACCUAGUGGGGACCACUCAACCCUCGGGGGACCACUCAACUCUAACCGACUAAUAUCAUCCUGACCCUACAAUUUUUCAUCUAAUGGUUAAAAACUUGAUAGCAAAAAUAGCGUUUUACUAUUAA
Molecule: long non-coding RNA, 265 nt
Filed under: Ananas comosus (pineapple)
Lineage: Eukaryota; Viridiplantae; Streptophyta; Magnoliopsida; Poales; Bromeliaceae
Description: long non-coding RNA (ACOM_LNC020587)
Source: RNAcentral